This 469-nucleotide ribosomal RNA is filed under the name uncultured Burkholderiales bacterium. RNAcentral's name for it is "bacterial SSU rRNA". It matches the Rfam family "Bacterial small subunit ribosomal RNA", at positions 9 to 466 of the family's 1533-position model. The record is from RNAcentral. Lineage: Bacteria; Pseudomonadati; Pseudomonadota; Betaproteobacteria; Burkholderiales.
GAGUUUGAUCGUGGCUCAGAUUGAACGCUAGCGGAAUGCUUUACACAUGCAAGUCGGGCGGCAGCGGGUCCUUCGGGAUGCCGGCGAGCGGCGAACGGGUGAGUAAUGUAUCGGAACGUACCCAUUAGUGGGGGAUAACUACGCGAAAGCGUGGCUAAUACCGCGUACGCCCCUUUGGCGACAUUGGGGGAAAGCAGGGGACCUUUCGGGGCCUUGCGCUAUUGGAGCGGCCGAUAUCGGAUUAGUUUGUUGGUGGGGUAAUGGCCUACCAAGGCGAUGAUCCGUAGCUGGUUUGAGAGGACGACCAGCCACACUGGGACUGAGACACGGCCCAGACUCCUACGGGAGGCAGCAGUGGGGAAUUUUGGACAAUGGGGGCAACCCUGAUCCAGCCAUUUCGCGUGUGCGAUGAAGGCCUUCGGGUUGUAAAGCACUUUUGGCGGGGAAGAAACGGCGGUCUCUAACAUAG